UACGGGGGGGGCAAGCGUUGUUCGGAAUUACUGGGCGUAAAGGGCUCGUAGGUGGCCAACUAAGUCAGACGUGAAAUCCCUCGGCUUAACCGGGGAACUGCAUCUGAUACUGGAUGGCUUGAGUUUGGGAGAGGGAUGCGGAAUUCCAGGUGUAGCGGUGAAAUGCGUAGAUAUCAGGAGGAACACCGGUGGCGAAGGCGGGUCUCUGGGCCGUAACUGACGCUGAGGAGCGAAAGCGUGGGGAGCGAACAGG
RNAcentral lists this ribosomal RNA (253 nucleotides) under uncultured bacterium. Its description in RNAcentral is "partial 16S ribosomal RNA". It matches the Rfam family "Bacterial small subunit ribosomal RNA", at positions 524 to 776 of the family's 1533-position model. The record is from RNAcentral.